UCCCUUGUAGCUCAGUCGGUAAAGAAUCUGCCUGCAAUGCAGGAGACCCGGGUUUGAUCCCUGGGUGAGGAA
RNAcentral lists this transfer RNA (72 nucleotides) under Bos taurus (domestic cattle). It matches the Rfam family "tRNA". Rfam says of the family: Transfer RNA (tRNA) molecules are approximately 80 nucleotides in length. Their secondary structure includes four short double-helical elements and three loops (D, anti-codon, and T loops). Further hydrogen bonds mediate the characteristic L-shaped molecular structure. tRNAs have two regions of fundamental functional importance: the anti-codon, which is responsible for specific mRNA codon recognition, and the 3' end, to which the tRNAs corresponding amino acid is attached (by aminoacyl-tRNA synthetases). tRNAs cope with the degeneracy of the genetic code in two manners: having more than one tRNA (with a specific anti-codon) for a particular amino acid; and 'wobble' base-pairing, i.e. permitting non-standard base-pairing at the 3rd anti-codon position. The record is from Rfam by way of RNAcentral. RNAcentral also lists the same sequence under 1 other name. Lineage: Eukaryota; Metazoa; Chordata; Mammalia; Artiodactyla; Bovidae.